Phrynosoma platyrhinos (Desert horned lizard) is the source of this 72-nucleotide non-coding RNA. The record is from the annotation of a GenBank genome assembly. NCBI's taxonomy places the organism in Eukaryota, Metazoa, Chordata, Lepidosauria, Squamata, Phrynosomatidae.
AGCAUCAUAGCUUAAUGGGAGAACACCAGCUUGGCAUGCAGGAAGUCCCAGGUUUGAUCCCUGGCAUUGCCA